CCACAAGCCGUGAUUCCCUUUCUGCCCGGAGAUCAUGACUCUCCAUUGAUCACUACCAAGGUGACCCAAUAGGGCAUCACUAUGUAGCCUUUACAAAGAUUCCCCGGGGUUGUAGCCGCCCGUUAGGUUUCCUAAAUGCACCGCACUCCUCCCCAAGGGGCGAACCCAAACUUGGCAGAGCGAGCCGCAUACACGGAGCCCCAUUGACGGCACGACGGCUAAGCGAACUACACCCCGAUUCCUCUAAUUAUUCAGCUAAGGGCAUCCCAUUCCACCCUCAUGGUUGCACUGUUUUCCCGGGCGGUCAUCCAACAAACAGGUCCUUACGGAGAGGCACUCGAGAAACCGCUCGAGCCCCCUUGAAUGCCACAAGUAUAACAUCAUAAUAAAGGAGGGGAAAACAAUGUAUCAUUGAUAAUUCUCAUCAUGUUCAUUGAUUAGAGUUGAGCAAUAGCAUAAAGCCAAACAAUAAUAAUCGAACCCAAAUAGGUAAACAAGGACAUGGAUAACAAAAUCUAGUCAAUCCUUAGGUAUAACUGUGAAAUGCGGAGGGUGAAUUAAAGAAUGUAUAGGACAGAGAUAGGUCAAGGGACACUUGCCUCCACCAACCAGCUGCUGCUCAGGGACUUCUCCUACGAGUUCCUCGGGCUCUUCAACCGGAUCGUUCUCUAUACGAGCGCAAACAUACAUACAUCCACACAUUUAAUACAAAAGAACAGUACACCAUAUAAUAGAAUGCAAUAAAUAAACAGAAGUUCCACGCGGGGCUCGCAAUUACGGUUAAGAGAGAAAGAGGAAAAGACAGUCGAGAAACGAUCACGUUACAUUAUUAUAAAUUAAACCACUCGCUUAAUAGAAGGGCAUUAAUUUGGACACUACGUUUAGCAUAAAGUAAAGUCAAGUUCCACAUUUAAUCAUUAUAAAUAAUUGAAGAUGAAUGAAAGGGAGUGGUCGCACGGCAAGACGUACGACCCCACAUUUAGAUUGAAAUGAGAAAUAAACGACUCACCACGCGACAGAGCGCGCAACGAGAUUCUUGCAUUAAUUAUAAGUAAUACGUUAAGCGUUGCGCGACGAAACGCACGAUGGCUUACGUCAACAGAACUGAGUUUAAAACGAAUCGUCGCGCGACGAAGCGCGCAACGCAACACUUUAAUAAAUAUAAAUAAAAAGAAUCGUCGUGCGACGAAGCGCGCGACGCAGCACGUCAACUAACACGGGGUUAAGGGCAGGCGCGCGGGACGCGAGUCGCCGGGGCACGGGUGCGGGCAGGGACGCGGCCGAGGGCGAGCGACCAGGGCACGACCGGGGAGCAGGGGCUCGCGGCGAGGGCGGGCUGGCGGGGCGAGGCGGGCUCGACGGGGCAAGGGCGCGCGAGGGCGCAGGGCCGAGCCGCCGGCGUCGGGCGCGGGCGCGCAGGGUGCCGUGGGCGCGGGGCCGGGGGAGGGGGCUCGCCGGGGAAGGAGGGCUCGCCGGGGGGGAGCAGGGCGCGGCCGAGGGGCGGCGCGGGGAGAGGCUCGCUGGGCGCGUGGGGAGGCCACCGGGGGCGCGGCUCGCCGGGGAGGGGGCUCGCUGGGGCGGGAGCAGGGCGCGGUCGAGGGGCGGCGCGGGAGGCUGCCGCGGCGCGGCUCGCCGGGGCAGGGAGGGCACAGGAAUGGCGCGGCGCGGCCGCGAGGGCUCGCCGGGCGCUGGACGGGGAGGGGAGGGCGCGGCCGAGCCGCCGGUGUCGGGGCGCGGGACGGAAAGGGGAGCGCGGGGUCGGGGAGGGCGCGGCCGCGGGUGGCGCGGGGACCGGGCGGCGCAGGGCGUGCGGGCAGGAGGGUCGCGCGGGGAAGAAGAAUGGGAGGGGGGAGAGAGAGAAAAGGGAAGGGGAGGGGAAAAACUCACCUCCGGGGAUCCAAACUCCGGCGAUCUCGACUCCAAACCCUAGGGCACCACGGGGAGAGAGAGACAGGUGGAAGAGGGAGAGGGAGGUUACUGCGCGGGAGAAAUCAAAUGAGACAAACGGAUCUGGGGAGGGGGCGCAUGAGGUGGGCAGGGGCGCCAGGGCGCGCGGGCCGGACCGGGCCAGGCUGGGCCGGGCUGGGCCACACCGCGGAUCGAAACCCACGACACGCACGACCAUUAAACGGAAUCCAAUCAUGAACCGAAAUCCGAAACGGAACGAGAUGAACACGCGACAUCAGACAAAGAAAUGCUCUUUGGCAUGAUGCAACACCCAUGACACUUAAGUUUUGUUUAUACAUGACACGGACACCUAUCACUAUACUGGUUUGAAAUUGGGAAGAAGGAGCGAAACGGGAAGAGAAAAGAGAGUAACGCCCGAAUUUGGUGAGUGAAAAGAAGAAAAAAAUUCUACCCCCAAAUUCAGGGCGUUACAAACCUAUCCCCCUUAAAAGAAUCUCGCCCUCGAGAUUCAAGGUGGGCUAGCAAAGAGCUCAGGGUAUUUAGCCAUCAGAUCAUCUUCACGCUCCCAGGUUGCUUCUUCCUCAGAGUGGUGAUUCCAUCUGACUUUGCACAUUCUGAUGGUCUUCCUUCGGGUGACUCUGUCUGCAGUCUCAAGGAUUUGCGUUGACUUCUCAAUGUAGGUCAAGUCCUCCUGGACUUCAAGGCCUUCCACUGGCAACUGCUCUUCUGGCACUCGCAGACACUUCUUCAACUGAGACACAUGAAAGACAUCAUGCACUGCAGACAAACCCUCUGGUAAACUGAGCUGAUAGGCCACUUCUCCACGCCUUGCGAGAAUCUGAUACAGACCAAUGUAGCGGGGUGCUAGCUUGCAUUUGACUCCGAAUCUUCUGACUCCUCUGAUCGGCGAAACCUUCAAAUAGACGAAGUCACCGACUUCGAAACUCAGAUCUCUUCUUCUUGUUUCUGCAUAGCUUCGCUGCCUUGAUUGCGCUAUCUUCAGAUUCUCUUGGACCAUCUUGAUGUUCUCUUCAGCUUCAAGCAGAAUGUCUGGCCCGAACAUUUGCUUUUCUCCAGGCUGAUCCCAUUGCAACGGAGUUCUACAACUCCUUCCAUAGAGUGCCUGAAAUGGUGACAUCUUCAAGCUGGCCUGGUAACUGUUGUUAUAGGAGAACUCUGCAUAAGGCAACCUCUUGUCCCAUCCGGACUGAUCCUGCAACGCACAGGCUCUCAACAUGUCUUCAAGGAUUUGAUUGGUCCUUUAGGUCUGACCAUCUGUCUGCGGAUGAUAGGCGGAACUGAAAUUUAGAUGUGUACCCAAAGCUUCAUGCGACUGCUGCCAGAAAUGAGAGGUGAACUGCAUUCCUUUAUCUGACACUAUCUUCUUUGGCACACCAUAAAGACAAACGAUCCGAGACAUGUACAACUCUGCCAACACUGCACUGCGUAGUUGGUCUUGACAGGUAUGAAGUGGGCUGACUUGGUCAAGCGGUCCACCACUACCCAAAUGGAAUCAUAGCCGGCUCGAGUGCGAGGCAAUCCGACUAUGAAAUCCAUACCGAUUUCAUCCCAUUUCCACUGAGGAAUUUGCAACGGUUGCAACAAUCCAGCUGGUCUCUGGUGCUCUGCCUUGAUCCGUCGACAACUAUCACACAUAGCCACAUGCUCUGCGAUUUCCCUCUUCAUUCUGUACCACCAGAAUUUCUUCUUCAGAUCUUGAUACAUCUUCUCACUUCCUGGGUGAAUCGAAUAAGCUGUCUCAUGAGCUUCCUUGAGGAUCAACUCCCGAAUAGACUGGACAUUGGGACACACAAGCGGUCUUUGAACCAUAUCACACCUUCUGCAUCUUCCCGAAAAUCUUUGCCUCUGCCUUCUAGAAUCAGUCGUCGGAUCUCACUGAUCUUCUCAUCAUUCUUCUACGCUUCUUUGAUUUCCUGCUCUAGGGUAGGUUCUAACUCAAUUGCGACUCCUCGUGUAUUAUUUAGAAAUCCGAGGCUCAACCUGUCAAACUCUUUGGCCAACUCAUAAGGCAUCGGACGAGCGACCAUCAGAUUGACCUGACUCUUCCUGCUCAAAGCGUCUGCCACUACGUUCGCUUUGCCCGGAUGAUAAUGAAUCUCCAACUCGUUGUCUUUGAUCAACUCUAACCAUCUUCGCUGCCUCAUAUUCAACUCUGACUGAGUGAAUAUGUACUUCAGACUCUUGUGGUCUGUGUAAACAUCACAUUUCUGUCCAUACAGAUAGUGCCUCCAUGUCUUCAAUGCGUGAACCACUGCUGCCAACUCUAGGUCAUGGAUUGGGUAAUUCUUCUCGUGAACUUUCAGCUGUCGGGACGAGUAAGCCACAACUCUUCCCUCUUGCAUCAACACACAUCCCAAACCAGUGUAACAAGCAUCGCAAUACACCGAGAAGGGCUUGUGCACAUCAGGCAAGACUAAGACAGGUGUUGUAUUCAACUUUUCUUUCAGCGCUUCGAAGGCCUCUUGACAUUUUUGGGUCCACUUGAACUCAACCUUGUUGCCUAGCAAAGCUGUCAUUGGUUUCACAAUCUUCGAGAACCCUUCGAUGAAUCGCCGAUAAUAUCCGGCCAUUCCAAUGAAGCUCUUGAUUCCUCGAGCAUCUGUUGGCGCUUUCCAGUUCAGAAUGUCUGCCACUUUCUUCGGAUCCACAUCCAAACCUUACUUGUUGAUUAUAUGACCCAAGAACAGGACUUCACUGAUCCAGAACUCGCACUUGCUCAACUUUGCAUACAACUGGUGCUCUCGCAAUCUCUGCAGAACCAUCCUCAAAUGAUCUGCAUGCUCUUCUUCGCUUUGAGAAUAUAUCAGAAUGUCAUCAAUAAAUACCACCACAAACUUAUCAAGAUAAUCCAUGAAUACACUGUUCAUCAAGUUCAUGAAGAAGGCCGGUGCACUGGUUAGACCGAAAGACAUCACAGUGAACUCAUACAACCCAUACAUGGUAAUGAAUGCCGUCUUCGGAAUGUCUGAAGGUCGAAUCCUGAGUUGAUGAUAACCUGACCUCAGAUCUAUCUUGGAGAACACGAUGGCUCCUCUCAACUGGUUGAACAGAUCUUCUAUUCUGGGCAAGGGGUACUUGUUCUUGAUUGUAACUUCAUUCAGAGCUCGAUAAUCGAUACACAUUCUUCUGGUGCCAUCUUUCUUCUCCACAAAUAGGACAGGGGCGGCCCAAGGCGAGGUGCUUGGCCGAAUGUAUCCUUUCUCUGACAGCUCAUCGAUCUGCUUCUUAAGUUCAACCAACUCUGAUCCAGAUACUCUAUAAGCUCUCUUAAAGAUGAGGGUGGUUCCAGGAAGAAGCUCUAUGGCAAACUCAACUUUCCGCUCUAGUGGCAUACCUGGUAGGUCCUUUGGAAACACAUCUAGGAACUCGAACACAACCUUUAUACUCUCAAUUGGGUCUGCUUCACUGCUAUCGACAGCCAUCUGAUAACAACUUCCUUUCUUCGGCUCAGGCGGGACUAACUCGGUCACCACUUCCUCUCCUAGUGGGGACACCAACUUGAUUGCCCUCUUAUCACAACUGAUAACUGCCUGAUACUUAUCUAGCCAAUUCAUCCCUAGGAUGACAUCUGUUCCCUGAGUACCCAUUACUAUGAGGUUAGCGGGAAACGCUAUCCCCCUUAUUUCCACCCUUACAUUCAAACAAAUGCUAUCGGCUUCAAUUCUACCACCGGCUGAGUCAAUUUGAAUGGGGGUUGACAUGGCAGUUAUUAGAAGAUUAUGUGCUUCUACCCAUGAUGUAGUAAUAAAUGAAUGCGUUGCUCCAGUAUCAAAUAACACUUUCUGCAAUAUGGGAGUCGACUGGGAACAUACCUACUAUCAUGCCGGGGGUUUCCUGAACUGCUUCAGCCUCCAAGUGAUUCAGUCUCCCAUGAUUAUAGCGCGGCUGAGAGCGGUUGCUUGCUCCAGGCUGAGACACACUCUGCUUUGCUGGGGCAUUGGGGCCUGACUACUGCUGGACUACCUUCUUCGGACAUUGCAUCACCCAAUGGCCUUGCUCCCCACAGUGGAAACAUGCUCUGUUUCCAACCUGAGCUGGUGCUGCUUGAUUGUUCUGCUGGUUUGCUGGGGCAGGAAGACGAGGUGCCUACUGAUUCUGCCUCUGGAACUGACCUCCUCCUGACUGAUUGUUCUGGCGAUUCUGCUGCUGGUGCUGAGGAUACUGCCUUUGGAACUGCUGCUACUGAGGUGGACGCUGGUUCUGCCUGAACUGUUGAGGUUGAUUGCCUAAGAAACAAGGACGAUUGCUGCUUUCAGGCUGGGGUCCACUGAUCUUGCGCUUGUGAUCCUCCAUCUCUUUGCGCUUCCUCUCUGUCAUGAUCGCUCUGUCAAUCAGGUGCUGAAACGUGGGGAAAGUAUGAUUCAUCAACUGAUACUGCAGAGGGUCAACCAAGCCUCUCAGGAAACGAUACUGUCUCUUGGCGUCGGUGUUGACAUCUUCAAGAGCAUAGUGAGACAACUGCAGAAACUUGUCCCGGUACACACUAACAGACAAUGACCCUUGCUUGAGGGCUAGGAACUCCUCCUUCUUCACUGUCAUCAGACCUGCAGGAACAUGGUACUGACGAAAGCUACCUCUGAAUUCUUCCCAGGUGAUGGUGUUAGGGUUGGCAUGGGUGGCGAGAUAAGACUCCCACCAAGACUGAGCUGCUCCUCUCAACAGACGAGGACCAUACAGGACUUUUUCCCUGUCAUCACACUGAGCAGUAUGCAACUCCCGCUCCACUGUGCGCAGCCAGUCUUCAGCAUCCAUGGGGUCAGAAGAGUGAACAAACGUAGGGGGAUGACCUCUCAUGAAUUCAGCACGCUUGUCCCUGGGCAUCUGAGGCUGAGGCUGAGGUGGUGGCUGCUGCUGCUGCUGAAUAGCGGCCAGAGUCUGACCAAUGGCUUGAAUUGUCUGAGUCUGCAUUAGGAACAUCUGCUCGAUGGACAUCGGGGGUGGGGGCAGCAGUUGCUGUUGCUGGGGUACCUCAUCCUGCUGAGAUGCUUGCUCCUGCUGAGCACGCCUUCCUCCUCUGUGCCUGUUUUCUGACAUCUCAACACUGAACAGAUGAACAUCUUCACUGAUCUCCAACACAGACCAACACAGCUUCUCAGAUAAAGAGGAAAGUGGAAUAAAAGGCUUCCCAACUAGAUAACUAGCUUCAUUAACAUAUAAUAGGUAAACCAAAAUGCAGGGGAUACCCACACUAUGGUGACAGUCAUUACAAAGAUCCAAAUCAAACAUAGUUCAUCAUGACAAACAUAAAUGCACAGGAUAAGCAAACUACCCUGUCUAACUAAGACUAACUAAGAGCGAGACUAACGCUAAGACUAUAGCUUCUAUAUAUAUAUAUUCGUAUUAAUUACAAGAUCCGACUCUGACGAUCUAUGGUUCUAAAUUUAUCUUGGUCUUGCAGUCGGGGUUCCCAUAAGACUGAUGUCCAUGCCGAGGUGAGCGGUACGGGUGCUGAGUCCCGACGGGAGAGAGGGAGCCAUCAUCCAGGUGACGACGCUCCGCGCGCUCAGCCCACAGCUGGGCGAUCUCAGCAUGAGCCCUACUCAGCUCGUCUAAUGCAUGGUCCAGCUCCGUGUUUAGCAUAGUGGCUAGGUUGAAUGUGCUGCUCAACCUAGGAUUGUCCUCACCAACAGGUGAGACAAUCACGCCUCUUGUGCUGCCAGAUGGACGGCGGGGGUAAUACUUCAGGUUGAGACCGUCAGCUACCCCACCGAGCACUGAGCAAUAGUGCGAAAGCGCACGUCGUGCGGCAUCUUGCAUGGCCGCCUCAGCUGAGUCCCGCUUAGAGAUGGAAUAGUGCUCUGAGCAGACCUCAGCACCCUAGAGACUGUUCUUCGGACGGCGCACCAAGUAGGUCGCCUCCCAGCGGUCCAGGUAGACCCCGCGACUGUGCUGGAAGACCACACAGCGAUACUCGAUAGACCAAGUACGCCGGUCAAGUGCCUGACGUAGCAGGGUGUCGAGCGCAUCGUGGAAGUGACACCCGCGAGCAGCGUCGCGAGUGAUGGGUCGAGCAACCCAUCCUUCCGGCUCUUGGUCAGCAGAAAAGUCGGUGUUGUGGCUCGAGCUGUUGUCGCCACCUCCAUCGUCUGGGUCUCCUCCAGCGGCUGGGGCGCUCAGUGGUGGUGCAGGGGGCGCCUCCAGGGGAAGCACAGGGGAGCAGCUCCUCACAGACUCUAUCUCCUACUGGAGCGAGCAAGAAGAGCCCUGCUGCUCCUGUCGUCGACGCUCCUGCUCCUCAUGCAGGCGAUGGUGCAGCCUCUCCAAGUGGCUGGACUGACCGGUCACUGGACGGCGAAGCGGACGCUCCGCGAGACGACAGGGUAAGAAGGGGAUGACAGACUUCCGUGCAGUGUGUCUAAGACGAGCCAUCUACAAAAGACACCGUAAGCAUAAGAGUGAGAACAGAACUAAUAUGACCAGCAAGUAAUGAACCAUAAAUAAAUGAAGGAUUAGAAUAAAACACAAUUUUCAGCAAGGUAUAAUAUAUAGUAGAACAUAGGUUUGGUCGAUAUGACCAACUUUUGAAAGGAUACCAAAGUCAAGGCAAGAAUAGGGGUCUAUAAUCCUUAGAACGACCAUUCUACUCUAGGUUAGCAGUCCUACAGUCAGCACGGCUUUGAUACCACCUAUGUCACACCCGAUUUUAGAAGGCAAACCGAAUGCGAACCAUGUACGUGCCAGGAUCAGCAAUUCACGUACAAAGCAGUUACAUAAGUGGACAUCAUCACACAGUGCUCAAAUGAUAAUAUAAAAGGGAAAUAAUAGUCGAUUACAUCAUAUGUCUGAGACGUCCACAUAGUCUUUACAAUAAUCAAAGUGCGGAAUAGAAACGUAGAUAAACGCGGCCUUCACAGGCAGCCGAUUAGGGGUUGCCGCUAACCCACGCCUAGAACUCAUCAUAAUCUUGGAACUCCUAGUGGUCUCCUUCAACAGCUUCAUCUUCUCCUGAGCAGGGGUUGCAAUGCUGACAACCUGGGGAGGGGGGGUUUGGUGUGUAGAGCAAGGGUGAGUACACAUCAACAUACUCAGCAAGUAUCCUGUUUUGGCUGUAGUGGACUAGAUUUAUGUGGGGGUAAGUCAAGCAGUUGCUUUUAGUUGGUCAGAUUAUUAUUACUAGUAGAGAAAGCCAAGUUUUAGAGUUAACCCACGUUAUUAACUCAAACGUAAUCCUUUCCAAACGGAAAGAUUACCACUUACCCUUACCAGAGUCAAUACCAAGAACCAUCAAACUCAUUGCCACCUGCAAUCCGAACAUCUCUGAUCAAGUACCACUAAUCACUGGAGCUCCCUUGGCCGCUCAUAACCGCGAGCACGAUUGAUACAUCAGUUUUCAUACACUCAGAAGAGGUUGUGCACUUUACCCACAAGCCGUGAUUCCCUUUCUGCCCGGAGAUCAUGACUCUCCAUUGAUCACUACCAAGGUGACCCAGCAGGGCAUCACUACGUAGCCUUUACAAAGAUUCCCCGGGGCUGUAGCCGCCUGUUAGGUUUCCUAAAUGCCCCGCACUCCUCCCCAAGGGGCGAACCCAAACUUGGCAGAGCGAGCCGCAUACACCGAGCCCCAUUGACGGC
RNAcentral lists this long non-coding RNA (9501 nucleotides) under Zea mays. Its description in RNAcentral is "long non-coding RNA (ZMAY_LNC002298)". Lineage: Eukaryota; Viridiplantae; Streptophyta; Magnoliopsida; Poales; Poaceae. The record is from RNAcentral.